GAAAUGCGAUAAGUAAUGUGAAUUGCAGAAUUCCGUGAAUAAUCGAAUCUUUGAACGCACAUUGCGACCUCUGGCAUUCCGGGGGGCAUGCCUGUCCGAGCGUCAUUACGCACCCUCAAGCCCGGCUUGUGUGAUGGGCCCCGGCGUCUCGUUCGCGAGACGGGCCCGAAAGGCAGCGGCGGCGUCGACCCGAUGAGCCCGAGCGUAUGGGGACUUCUGUCACACGUUCGCGGUGCGGACCGGCGCCUGCUUGACUUUUCUGAUUAUCCAGGUUGACCUCGGAUCAGGUAGGGAUACCCGCUGAACUUAAGC
Molecule: unclassified non-coding RNA, 312 nt
Filed under: plant metagenome
Description: partial contains 5.8S ribosomal RNA, internal transcribed spacer 2, and large subunit ribosomal RNA
Rfam family: 5.8S ribosomal RNA (bases 1-105)
Source: RNAcentral